Molecule: transfer RNA, 75 nt
Filed under: Candidatus Microgenomates bacterium
Lineage: Bacteria; Candidatus Microgenomatota
Description: tRNA-Arg
Rfam family: tRNA
About the family: Transfer RNA (tRNA) molecules are approximately 80 nucleotides in length. Their secondary structure includes four short double-helical elements and three loops (D, anti-codon, and T loops). Further hydrogen bonds mediate the characteristic L-shaped molecular structure. tRNAs have two regions of fundamental functional importance: the anti-codon, which is responsible for specific mRNA codon recognition, and the 3' end, to which the tRNAs corresponding amino acid is attached (by aminoacyl-tRNA synthetases). tRNAs cope with the degeneracy of the genetic code in two manners: having more than one tRNA (with a specific anti-codon) for a particular amino acid; and 'wobble' base-pairing, i.e. permitting non-standard base-pairing at the 3rd anti-codon position.
Source: RNAcentral
GCUUCUGUAGUUUAACGGAUAGAACGCGGCCCUCCGAAGGCUGUAAUGAGAGUUCAAUUCUCUCCAGAAGCGCCA